UACGUAGGGUGCGAGCGUUGUCCGGAAUUACUGGGCGUAAAGAGCUCGUAGGUGGUUUGUCGCGUUGUUCGUGAAAACUCACAGCUCAACUGUGGGCGUGCGGGCGAUACGGGCAGACUGGAGUACUGCAGGGGAGACUGGAAUUCCUGGUGUAGCGGUGGAAUGCGCAGAUAUCAGGAGGAACACCUGCGGCGAAGGCGGGUUGCUGGGCUGACACUGACGCUGAAGCGCGAAAGCUAGGGGAGCGAACGGG
This 253-nucleotide ribosomal RNA is filed under the name uncultured bacterium. RNAcentral describes it as "partial 16S ribosomal RNA". It matches the Rfam family "Bacterial small subunit ribosomal RNA", at positions 524 to 776 of the family's 1533-position model. The record is from RNAcentral.